RNAcentral lists this ribosomal RNA (648 nucleotides) under uncultured bacterium. Its description in RNAcentral is "bacterial SSU rRNA". It matches the Rfam family "Bacterial small subunit ribosomal RNA", at positions 110 to 753 of the family's 1533-position model. The record is from RNAcentral.
GUAAUGCUUAGGAAUCUGCCUAUUAGUGGGGGACAACAUCUCGAAAGGGAUGCUAAUACCGCAUACGUCCUACGGGAGAAAGCAGGGGACCUUCGGGCCUUGCGCUAAUAGAUGAGCCUAAGUCGGAUUAGCUAGUUGGUGGGGUAAAGGCCUACCAAGGCGACGAUCUGUAGCGGGUCUGAGAGGAUGAUCCGCCACACUGGGACUGAGACACGGCCCAGACUCCUACGGGAGGCAGCAGUGGGGAAUAUUGGACAAUGGGGGGAACCCUGAUCCAGCCAUGCCGCGUGUGUGAAGAAGGCCUUUUGGUUGUAAAGCACUUUAAGCGAGGAGGAGGCUACCGAGAUUAAUACUCUUGGAUAGUGGACGUUACUCGCAGAAUAGGCACCGGCUAACUCUGUGCCAGCAGCCGCGGUAAUACAGAGGGUGCAAGCGUUAAUCGGAUUUACUGGGCGUAAAGCGCGCGUAGGUGGCCAAUUAAGUCAAAUGUGAAAUCCCCGAGCUUAACUUGGGAAUUGCAUUCGAUACUGGUUGGCUAGAGUAUGGGAGAGGAUGGUAGAAUUCCAGGUGUAGCGGUGAAAUGCGUAGAGAUCUGGAGGAAUACCGAUGGCGAAGGCAGCCAUCUGGCCUAAUACUGACACUGAGGUG